GUCGUCAGUCCAAGAAGCCAUGUU
RNAcentral lists this non-coding RNA (24 nucleotides) under Arabidopsis thaliana (thale cress). Lineage: Eukaryota; Viridiplantae; Streptophyta; Magnoliopsida; Brassicales; Brassicaceae. The record is from RNAcentral.